RNAcentral lists this ribosomal RNA (403 nucleotides) under uncultured bacterium. Its description in RNAcentral is "partial 16S ribosomal RNA". It matches the Rfam family "Bacterial small subunit ribosomal RNA", at positions 28 to 526 of the family's 1533-position model. The record is from RNAcentral.
GACGAACGCUGGCGGCGUGCCUAAUACAUGCAAGUCGAACGCAGUGGGGACGGGUGAGCAACACGUGGGUAACCUCCCAUCAGAGGGGAUAACAAAUGGAAACAGGUGCUAAACCGAUACGGACGGAUGAACCCGCGGUGCAUUAGCUAGUUGGUGAGGUAACGGCUCACCAAGGCCAUGAUGCAUAGCCGACCUGGGAGGGGGAUCGGCCAAACUGGGACUGAGACACGGCCCAGACUCCUACGGGAGGCAGCAGUGGGGAAUGUUCGGCAAUUGGCGAAAGUCUGACCGAGCUACGCCGCGUGAGUGAAGAAGGUUUUCGGAGCGUAAAGCUCUGUUGUUAGAGAAGCGGUAUCUAACCAGAAAGCCACGGCUAACUACGUGCCAGCAGCCGCGGUAAUAC